GAUGAACGCUGGCGGCGUGCCUAAUACAUGCAAGUCGAGCGAACAGACGAGGAGCUUGCUCCUCUGACGUUAGCGGCGGACGGGUGAGUAACACGUGGAUAACCUACCUAUAAGACUGGGAUAACUUCGGGAAACCGGAGCUAAUACCGGAUAAUAUAUUGAACCGCAUGGUUCAAUAGUGAAAGACGGUUUUGCUGUCACUUAUAGAUGGAUCCGCGCCGCACUAGCUAGUUGGUAAGGUAACGGCUUACCAAGGCAACGAUGCGUAGCCGACCUGAGAGGGUGAUCAGCCACACUGGAACUGAGACACGGUCCAGACUCCUACGGGAGGCAGCAGUAGGGAAUCUUCCGCAAUGGGCGAAAGCCUGACGGAGCAACGCCGCGUGAGUGAUGAAGGUCUUCGGAUCGUAAAACUCUGUUAUUAGGGAAGAACAAAUGUGUAAGUAACUAUGCACGUCUUGACGGUACCUAAUCAGAAAGCCACGGCUAACUACGUG
Molecule: ribosomal RNA, 497 nt
Filed under: uncultured bacterium
Lineage: Bacteria
Description: partial 16S ribosomal RNA
Rfam family: Bacterial small subunit ribosomal RNA
Source: RNAcentral